RNAcentral lists this long non-coding RNA (403 nucleotides) under Phoenix dactylifera (date palm). RNAcentral's name for it is "long non-coding RNA (PDAC_LNC017797)". The record is from RNAcentral. Lineage: Eukaryota; Viridiplantae; Streptophyta; Magnoliopsida; Arecales; Arecaceae.
ACCUUCACCAGAAAUGACUGCUCUCCCUCCACCAAUUCAAAUCCAAAAUACUCACACUCAAGCAGCUCGGAGCAAGGUGCUGGAGUUCAUAAAAGGGCGUCAGCCAUUCCAUCAGAGAGUUCUCUAGAAGAGAAACAAGUAAAUAAAUUAAUUUACAUAUAUGGUUCCCCUUUUUUUUUGCAGAUUUCUGAGACUUCAAAAGCUCAUAGAGAUGAUGAUGAUGGAGCUGAAUCCCGUCCUUGAUACCUUCUAGACUUGUAUAUGUUUCUUAUUUUGCAAAGUACAUUGUAAUUCUAAGAUAUGAUAAUUUAAAUAUUUCAAAUGAUUUGAAUGUUUGUGUCAAUGUAAAUGUAAUACAGGUUCAUAUUGUUAAAUGUAUUUUUAUAAUUUACAUUCGUAUUUA